Molecule: ribosomal RNA, 408 nt
Filed under: uncultured bacterium
Lineage: Bacteria
Description: partial 16S ribosomal RNA
Rfam family: Bacterial small subunit ribosomal RNA
Source: RNAcentral
GACGAACGCUGGCGGCGUGCUUAACACAUGCAAGUCGAACGAAGUGGCGAACGGGUGAGUAACGCGUAAUCAACCUGCCCUUCAGAGGGGAACAACAGUUGGAAACGACUGCUAAUACCGCAUACUGAAGGAGGGGAUGGCGUCUGAUUGGCUCGUUGGAGGGGUAACGGCCCACCAAGGCGAUGAUCAGUAGCCGGUCCGGGGGGAUGGACGGCCACAAUGGGACGGAGACACGGCCCAGACUCCUACGGGAGGGAGCAGUGGGGAAUUUUCCGCAAUGGACGAAAGUCUGACGGAGCACCGCCGGGGGAGUUAUGACGGCCUUCGGGUUGUAAAGCUAUGUUAAUCGGGACGCGUUACCGGAAUAGAAAGCCACGGCUAACUACGUGCCAGCAGCCGCGGUAAUUC